AGGGACGCAAUCACGUCUUGCUGUCAGGGCCCUGCGCUCCUCCACCCCUCCGUCUUGUUUCAGCUGAGGCAAGGGGAGGGAGGGUUACCAGAGGAGGUAUUUCCAUUCUGCGUUUCUCUCUCGCUGCCAUGACUGUAAUUCUACUCCUUCCUUAGCUGGGUGAUACCACCAGCUGUUGGUCACCGCAUCACCGGAGCCACCCCCGAGACGGCAGGUUUCUGGGUUCGGUUUAUGGGAGCAGGGGCUCUUGCCCUCGGCUGAGGCCUGGGCCUGCCCCACAGCGUCUCAUCCCUUCCGUCCAGGCCGCUGGUCUCCUCACUCUAAGAGAAUUGCUCCCACGUGCAGAGAUUCAGACUUCGAGGGUGCAUGCCAUCACCCUGGCCUGUCACUGCUGAUGCUGACGUCGCUCUCCUGGCUGAGGAGGUCAGGUGUCUCCAUGGUCCUGUAACUCUGUGUGUCCUGUUUCCAUCCUCUCCUCUGUGGAAGGAAGUGGCAUGGGGCCUACACUUCAAGAGUGGGGAGCAUCUCUCUGUCCACAACACGUGGAAUUCUUCUGCAUGGAGAUUUGUCCCUCCCCACCCCCACCCAUGUAUUUGAUCGCCAGCCCUUCAUUCCUGACCAUGGAGCUCAUUAUCUGGCUUUGACAUCUCCUUCCCCCACUUCGAGAGCCCAGCGUGAGGCUGGGCCUUCAGAAGUCCUCUCCGGAUCCCGGGAGUGGCUCAGAGCUGGACUGGAUUGGGGCAAAUCGCUUCCCUUCCCACUUUUCCCAGUUAAUACAACUUCCGGAGGAGUGUGUUGAGUGUGCGGUUUCCAUGAGUCACAAAGUCGGAGCCUGGAGCUUAGGCGGGGGCAUUUUCAAUAACAGCUUUAUUGAGGAAUGAUACACAUAUUAUAAAGUUUACCCUUUGAAAGAGUAUAAUUCAGUGGUUUCUUAGUAUAUUUACAGAGUUGUGCAACCAGCACCACUAUCUAAUUCUAGAACAUUUUCAUCACCCCACACGCAACCCCGCACCCAUUAACAGGCCCUCCCCGCUCCCUGCUCCCCCAGCUCU
This 1052-nucleotide long non-coding RNA is filed under the name Equus asinus (donkey). RNAcentral's name for it is "lncRNA (ENSEASG00005034096.1)". Lineage: Eukaryota; Metazoa; Chordata; Mammalia; Perissodactyla; Equidae. The record is from RNAcentral.